This 72-nucleotide transfer RNA is filed under the name Myxococcales bacterium. RNAcentral's name for it is "tRNA-Ile". It matches the Rfam family "tRNA". From Rfam's summary of the family: Transfer RNA (tRNA) molecules are approximately 80 nucleotides in length. Their secondary structure includes four short double-helical elements and three loops (D, anti-codon, and T loops). Lineage: Bacteria; Pseudomonadati; Myxococcota; Myxococcia; Myxococcales. The record is from RNAcentral.
CCUCCUGUCGUCCAACGGCCAGGACACCCGGCUGAUAACCGGGAAACGAAGGUUCAACUCCUUCCAGGAGGA